This 1102-nucleotide long non-coding RNA is filed under the name Chinchilla lanigera (long-tailed chinchilla). RNAcentral describes it as "lncRNA (ENSCLAG00000022480.1)". Lineage: Eukaryota; Metazoa; Chordata; Mammalia; Rodentia; Chinchillidae. The record is from RNAcentral.
ACAAUGCUCCGCUUUCCUCCGGAGAGGCAGCUCCUCUCCAGUCCUGUCCCCUGGGUCCCGCCUGCCCUGUCCCUCAUCCUUGGGCCGUCUGUCACUGCAAAGGCUGCCGCUUCCUCAGGGAAAAGUCCGGCCCUUUGUGAGUCCUCGCUUCCUCCCCGUGUGGGAACCACUCCUGGGCCGGGACAUCUGCCCCUCAGAGUCUUUCUCAGGGGCCCAAGCUGGAAGACCUCCUGCCUGGAGUCACUCUGCCACCUGCUGGCAAUACCUUGGAAUUGCAGUCCCACUGCGCCUGUGAGUGGGCCGGGUCGCUGGCUCCAGCGUCUUCCCCCGCUGACCAAGGGAGCCCUGUUCCUUGCUCAUCGCUGCGGGAAGCUCCGUUCUACAAAGGUGCCCGCUACCCUCUGGGGCACUCUUCUCCCACAGCGCCGCACGGUGUCCCGCUCGCCUCCUCUAGGCCUCAGCGGGCAGUGAGCGCUUCCCUGACAACUAUUAGGUAGCCCGGCUCCCCCUCGCCCCCCACCCGCGCCAGCCUGUCUCCCCUUCCCACCAUGCUGCUGUACCAGUCGCAGAAGCACCUAUGUGUUUGCCGCGCCGUUCCCUGCGCGAGAGCGUGGGACGUCUGUGAACUCUGCUCUUGUUCCAAUGCAUGGAACAGCACCAAUCCCCUGGAAUUCUUCCUUUCCCUGUGUACUCAAUCUCUGUAUGGUGGAACUACAUUUCACCGGGGCCACCUUGUACCCUGCUUUAUGUGUAUAAAUCUCCUGUUCCCACCUAGAAUGCAAAUCCUGGGUUUGUUUCUUCGGACGAGCUCCAGUCUGCACCUUCACAGCGGACGUCAUCUCCUGGCGUCCAGGGAAGACUUGUCAGCCUCCUGAGAGGGAUCCGCGCAGGACGCUGCAGUGAGCUCCAGGCCUUCGACUGGAUCUUUCUCAUCUGCAGCGCACAGAGGCCCUUCUGCUCUCCUCCACACCUGACUGUGACGGCCACUUUGAGCCAACCUUGUAAAUUCUUAUGCGUUUGUAUAUCUUGCAUUAAAUCUGUUUCUCUAGUGAGCACUGAGUGACACAGAUUUUGGUACCGGGAAUGGCUCUAGAAGAACAGA